This 140-nucleotide small nucleolar RNA is filed under the name Jaculus jaculus (lesser Egyptian jerboa). Its description in RNAcentral is "Small nucleolar RNA SNORA57 (ENSJJAG00000004938.1)". It matches the Rfam family "Small nucleolar RNA SNORA57". Rfam says of the family: U99 belongs to the H/ACA class of snoRNAs which are thought to guide the sites of modification of uridines to pseudouridines, the target for this family is unknown. Lineage: Eukaryota; Metazoa; Chordata; Mammalia; Rodentia; Dipodidae. The record is from RNAcentral.
CCUCCUUUUCUUGGCGAGGUCCAGGCAUGUGGUCCUGCUCCCGGUUAUGUGCGGUGGUGGAGAGAAAGGGCCCGGGCAUGUCUUCGGUGCCAAAGUGCUGAGAAGUGACAGUAGAGAAUACCUCACUAAGUAAGACACCU